GACGAACGCUGGCGGCGUGCCUAAUACAUGCAAGUAGAACGCACAGUUUAUACCGUAGCUUGCUACACCAUAGACUGUGAGUUGCGAACGGGUGAGUAACGCGUAGGUAACCUGCCUGGUAGCGGGGGAUAACUAUUGGAAACGAUAGCUAAUACCGCAUAAUAUUGAUUAUUGCAUGAUAAUUGAUUGAAAGAUGCUAUUGCAUCACUACCAGAUGGACCUGCGUUGUAUUAGCUAGUAGGUGAGGUAACGGCUCACCUAGGCGACGAUACAUAGCCGACCUGAGAGGGUGAUCGGCCACACUGGGACUGAGACACGGCCCAGACUCCUACGGGAGGCAGCAGUAGGGAAUCUUCGGCAAUGGACGAAAGUCUGACCGAGCAGCGCCGCGUGAGUGAAGAAGGUUUUCGGAUCGUAAAGCUCUGUUGUAAGAGAAGAACGGGUGUGAGAGUGGAAAGUUCACACUGUGACGGUAUCUUACCAGAAAGGGACGGCUAACUACGUG
This 505-nucleotide ribosomal RNA is filed under the name uncultured bacterium. RNAcentral describes it as "partial 16S ribosomal RNA". It matches the Rfam family "Bacterial small subunit ribosomal RNA", at positions 28 to 507 of the family's 1533-position model. The record is from RNAcentral.